UUUUCUUUUAGCAUGGACAUAUGGACUUGUAGGUUAUGCAAAGCAAUAGUCUAUAAUUUGACAUGAAGAUUUCAAUACUCAAGGACAUCAACAAGCAACUAAGUCUUUCAAAAUAUCAACACUAAAGAACGUUAUCCCUGGCCCAUCGUGCUUUAUCAUUGACCCAUUCAUGCAACACACCCAAAUAUUAACUACAUACAAUGCUCAAGUGUGAUAAUGGUGUUCCUUAGUUUGUUCUUUAUAAGAGAAGAUGGAAACGCUUGUAAAAAAAGAUGGAAACUCAAAAAUAAAUAAAAAAUGCAUAAAAUAAAUAGAUAGGCCCUUCUGAGAGGGAAUCACAGAUUUGUAGAGGUGCC
RNAcentral lists this long non-coding RNA (356 nucleotides) under Hordeum vulgare. RNAcentral describes it as "long non-coding RNA (HVUL_LNC021439)". The record is from RNAcentral. Lineage: Eukaryota; Viridiplantae; Streptophyta; Magnoliopsida; Poales; Poaceae.